This 223-nucleotide unclassified non-coding RNA is filed under the name uncultured Bacteroidota bacterium. RNAcentral describes it as "uncultured Bacteroidetes bacterium contains 16S-23S intergenic spacer region". The record is from RNAcentral. Lineage: Bacteria; Pseudomonadati; Bacteroidota.
UCACUACUUGCGUAGGCAGUCUGGCUAGAGUCCCCACCAUCACGUGCUGGUAACUAACCACAGGGGUUGCGCUCGUUGCGCCACUUAAGGCAACACCUCACGGCACGAGCUGACGACAGCCAUGCAGCACCUUCCGGCCCGUCCCGAAGGAAAGCUCCCUUUCAGGAGCCGGCAGGCCGGAUUUAGCCCAGGUAAGGUGGGGAUGACGUUAGAGAGUACGUCC